GAUGAAUUCUUCCGCUCCUGGGGAUUUGGAUCUAAUCCGCACAAAUUGUCAAAAUUGACAAUUUUAAUGUAGAUGUGAUGCGUUUGUAAUUUAACGAUGUAAAAUAAUCCAAAUCUGAUAAAAUUUUUGUAGAAAAUUUUUUUCACUAUUUAGAGUAAGAUCAGUACCUCUGAUCUUAAAUUCAAGUCUUUUAUAAUCAUUUUUUAUGAAAUUUUUAUUUUCAGCCGUUUAUUUUUAAACUAUUCGUUUGAUAGGUAAAUAAUCUCAAAAAAUUACAAAAUUUAGUUACCAAAUAUUUUUAAUAGUGUAGAUCAAGUCUAACGGAGCCAAUCGUCGAUUUGAAAGCCGCAUCAUUGAAAACAAUGAUGCUAUAUAUAUAUAUAUAUAUAUAUAUAUAUAUAUAUAUAUAUAUAUAUAUAAUUCUGUUACUAUCAUUUUAGGAAGACGGAAGCUUUCGUCCUCCUAAGUCGAUUUAAAUGAUAGGAAUUCCGAAUCAAUGAUCGGAACCGUCAAAAUUGAUGUAGAGUAUUUAAAGCGUUUAGAAACUAAAUUUAAUAAAUUUUAAAAAUUGUUAUCAAGCUCAUCGAAGAGUUAAAAAAUAAACAGUAAAAAACGAAUAGCCUUGUGAAAAUAUAUAUUAGAUUUUCUUAAUUUAUGAUCGGAAUUAUCAAAAGUUAUAUAAGCAUAAUAAAAAAAAUUCUAUCAAAAAUUCAAGCGUUUUGAAUUGCUCUAUACUGUUAAAGAAAUAAACGGCUGAUAUAGACCGUCAUAAAUUGUCGAUUUUAUGAUUUUUUGAUCACUACGUAAAUAAUUUUUAAAAUUUAUAAAAUUUAGUUUUUAAAAGAUAAACGAAGCAGAAAGUUUACUAUCUUUCUCUACAAAUA
RNAcentral lists this long non-coding RNA (884 nucleotides) under Ananas comosus (pineapple). RNAcentral's name for it is "long non-coding RNA (ACOM_LNC036142)". The record is from RNAcentral. Lineage: Eukaryota; Viridiplantae; Streptophyta; Magnoliopsida; Poales; Bromeliaceae.